RNAcentral lists this ribosomal RNA (496 nucleotides) under uncultured bacterium. Its description in RNAcentral is "partial 16S ribosomal RNA". It matches the Rfam family "Bacterial small subunit ribosomal RNA", at positions 28 to 506 of the family's 1533-position model. The record is from RNAcentral.
GAUGAACGCUGGCGGCGUGCCUAAUACAUGCAAGUCGAGCGAACAGACGAGGAGCUUGCUCCUCUGACGUUAGCGGCGGACGGGUGAGUAACACGUGGAUAACCUACCUAUAAGACUGGGAUAACUUCGGGAAACCGGAGCUAAUACCGGAUAAUAUAUUGAACCGCAUGGUUCAAUAGUGAAAGACGGUUUUGCUGUCACUUAUAGAUGGAUCCGCGCCGCAUUAGCUAGUUGGUAAGGUAACGGCUUACCAAGGCAACGAUGCGUAGCCGACCUGAGAGGGUGAUCGGCCACAAUGGAACUGAGACACGGUCCAGACUCCUACGGGAGGCAGCAGUAGGGAAUCUUCCGCAAUGGGCGAAAGCUUGACGGAGCAACGCCGCGUGAGUGAUGAAGGUCUUCGGAUCGUAAAACUCUGUUAUUAGGGAAGAACAAAUGUGUAAGUAACUAUGCACGUCUUGACGGUACCGAAUCAGAAAGCCACGGCUAACUACGU